UACAGAGGUGGCAAGCGUUGUUCGGAAUUACUGGGCGUAAAGGGCGCGUAGGCGGUCCUGUAAGUCUUGUGUGAAAUCCCUCGGCUUAACUGAGGAACUGCACAGGAUACUGCGAGACUUGAGUUCGGGAGAGGGAAGCGGAAUUCCGGGUGUAGCGGUGAAAUGCGUAGAUAUCCGGAGGAACACCGGUGGCGAAGGCGGCUUCCUGGACCGACACUGACGCUGAGGAGCGAAAGCGUGGGGAGCGAACAGG
Molecule: ribosomal RNA, 253 nt
Filed under: uncultured bacterium
Lineage: Bacteria
Description: partial 16S ribosomal RNA
Rfam family: Bacterial small subunit ribosomal RNA
Source: RNAcentral